This 278-nucleotide ribosomal RNA is filed under the name uncultured Oscillospiraceae bacterium. Its description in RNAcentral is "partial 16S ribosomal RNA". It matches the Rfam family "Bacterial small subunit ribosomal RNA", at positions 511 to 788 of the family's 1533-position model. Lineage: Bacteria; Bacillati; Bacillota; Clostridia; Eubacteriales; Oscillospiraceae. The record is from RNAcentral.
GCAGCCGCGGUAAUACGUAGGUUGCAAGCGUUGUCCGGAUUUACUGGGUGUAAAGGGCGUGUAGGCGGAGCUGCAAGUCAGAUGUGAAAUCCCGGGGCUCAACCCCGGAACUGCAUUUGAAACUGUAGCCCUUGAGUAUCGGAGAGGCAAGCGGAAUUCCUAGUGUAGCGGUGAAAUGCGUAGAUAUUAGGAGGAACACCAGUGGCGAAGGCGGCUUGCUGGACGACAACUGACGCUGAGGCGCGAAAGCGUGGGGAGCAAACAGGAUUAGAUACCCC